AGGCUGUUUUGCUGUAUUUAAUUGCUAUCAAAACAAGGGCAUAGCCUUAUAUUUUAUCUAUUCUUAAUGGUAGUCAAGUGGCUUAAUUAUUGACCAUCAUUGUCAUCAAUGCCCAUAGUUUUUCUAAUUCGGGUCUUAUAGUUUUGAAAUGCCAUUUUGUUUAUUAAAUAUCUCUUCGUAUAGAUAACAACACUUCUGCUUCAGUUAGUCUUUUAAUUCACUGUAUGUCCCCUGAAAAUUUUCUAUAAUCAGGCGCUUGGUGAAGCUAAUACAUCCAACAUUUGCUCUCGUCACUAUCGAUCCCCAGAACUCAUCUUUGGGGCUACGGAAUAUAUGACAGCAUUUGAUCUUUGGUCUGCUAGUUAUGUCUUAGCCGUGCUGCUUUUGGGACAGGUCUCUAGCCUCCAUAUCGUUCUUGCAUUUCGGUGAGUAGUAUUUUAUUCUACCAUAUUUUUUUACUUUCAAUAAUUUCCUUUUCUUUAUUUUUUAUAGCCACUGUUUCAUGGAGAGAAUGCAGUUGGUCAGCUUGUAGAGAUUAUCAAGUUCUUGUUACACCAACUCGAGAAGAAAUACGAUGUAUGAAUUCAAGCUAUAAUGAUUUUAGAUUUUCCCAAAUUAAAGCCCAUCUAUGGCACAAGGUUUUCCAUAAGCAGAUGCCUCCUGAAGCCAUUGAUCUUGCCUUCGGCUGCUUCAGUACUCAGCAAGUCUUUGCUGCACUGUGGUAUGUCUAAUCUUGUAGGCUAAAAGACUGGCAUCUCAAUACCAGAGAAAGGUUGAGAAAUACAAAGUGCCACAUGAACGUGUGAGGCGGCCAUAAUUACAAUGUAAAGAAAUGUCUUGAAAAUGAAGUUGGGAGUUUUGGGGAA
Long non-coding RNA from Olea europaea var. sylvestris, 866 nucleotides. RefSeq lists it as uncharacterized. The transcript is spliced from 3 exons. NCBI's taxonomy places the organism in Eukaryota, Viridiplantae, Streptophyta, Magnoliopsida, Lamiales, Oleaceae. The record is from RefSeq and is a predicted model, not a curated record.